AGGUUAAUUAAAACAAACUUUUCACCACCGAAUCUCUGGUUUCUGGCACCAAUAAGAACCGCACCAAAUUGCAAUAAUUAUGGUGAAUGGCAAAUUUCAUGGAAUCAUCAAAUCUUUAACC
This 121-nucleotide ribosomal RNA is filed under the name Venturia inaequalis. Its description in RNAcentral is "5.8S ribosomal RNA". The record is from RNAcentral. Lineage: Eukaryota; Fungi; Ascomycota; Dothideomycetes; Venturiales; Venturiaceae.